UGAAGCRGGAAAAGCUCAAGCUUAAAAUCUCCACGCAAGUGGCGAAUUGUAGUCUAUUGAGGCUGUUGUCAGCAUAGCGACCUGGGACAAGUCCCUUGGAAGAGGGCAGCAUGGAGGGUGAUACUCCCGUCUCUGCUCAGGUUGUCUGUGUGUACGACACGCUUUCUUUGAGUCGAGUUGUUUGGGAAUACAGCUCAAAGUAGGUGGUAAAUUCCAUCUAAAGCUAAAUAUAGUCACGAGACCGAUAGCGAACAAGUACCGUGAGGGAAAGAUGAAAAGAACUUUGAAAAGAGAGUUAAAGAGUACCUGAAACUGUUGAAAGGGAACCGUAUCGUUUCUAGUGUUUAUCCUAUGCAUAUUUCAUUGGCGGUUGCAAAAUUGCUGGUGCCCUGUGUAUGGGUGUGACGUCAGAGUCAGUUUGAAUUGCGGGAGAUGGGUAGUGAGGAGGUGCGUCACAUUUGUGAAAGUUACAGCUCGCUAUCUAGUAACCGUGGUUUAGACUGAGGUGCCUACAACAUGCUUUGGGGUGUAUGAUGUUGUCGUGUGAUGUAUUGCUUGGAUAGCUUGC
RNAcentral lists this ribosomal RNA (568 nucleotides) under Pachymetra chaunorhiza. RNAcentral's name for it is "LSU rRNA". It matches the Rfam family "Eukaryotic large subunit ribosomal RNA", at positions 94 to 628 of the family's 3401-position model. The record is from RNAcentral. Lineage: Eukaryota; Oomycota; Saprolegniomycetes; Saprolegniales; Verrucalvaceae.